UCAAGCCUACAUUUUGAUAGAAAACUUCAUUUAAUAUUAAAAAAAAAAAUUCCGAAUUAACACUACAGGAUAAAUAACCGUCUAAUAAAUUACCAAUCGUUUCUAAUACAAGUGGUAAAUGAUUUGAUGAUUGAUAUACUUAAGGUCCCAAACUCAAAGCCUGCUUACAUCACAUUUCCAACUUAAUUUAUUUCCGUAAGAAAAUGAAACGAAACAGAAAUCUGACUAUUAUUCUCUCAAACAAAAAA
RNAcentral lists this long non-coding RNA (248 nucleotides) under Ananas comosus (pineapple). Its description in RNAcentral is "long non-coding RNA (ACOM_LNC023734)". Lineage: Eukaryota; Viridiplantae; Streptophyta; Magnoliopsida; Poales; Bromeliaceae. The record is from RNAcentral.